RNAcentral lists this ribosomal RNA (441 nucleotides) under uncultured marine bacterium. RNAcentral describes it as "bacterial SSU rRNA". It matches the Rfam family "Bacterial small subunit ribosomal RNA", at positions 592 to 1036 of the family's 1533-position model. The record is from RNAcentral.
UGGUGAAAUCCCAAGGCUCAACCUUGGAACUGCCAUCAAAACUUUUUAGCUAGAGUGUGAUAGAGGUAAGUGGAAUUUCUAGUGUAGAGGUGAAAUUCGUAGAUAUUAGAAAGAACACCAAAUGCGAAGGCAACUUACUGGGUCACUAWUGACACUGAGGAGCGAAAGCAUGGGUAGCGAAGAGGAUUAGAUACCCUCGUAGUCCAUGCCGUAAACUAUGUGUGCUAGACGUUGGGAAUAUAUUUUUCAGUGUCGCAGCGAAAGCAUUAAGCACACCGCCUGGGGAGUACGACCGCAAGGUUAAAACUCAAAUGAAUUGACCCGCACAAGCAGUGGAGCAUGUGGUUUAAUUCGAAGAUACGCGCAGAACCUUACCAACACUUGACAUGUUCGUCGCGAGACUAAGAGAUUAGUCUUUUCAGUUCGGCUGGACGAAACACA